AUCUGAGGUUUGUGUAUAUAAGUGACAAUGGAAGACAACUCUAACCACAUCGGCUCCAACAGCAGACUUGAACUUGCGGUGACCAGAAGCGAAUCAACUUGAAAGAAAAUGAAAACAUUCGUCGCCUUGGUCUUUACAGUCGCUUUCGCCUGUCUUGUCUCAAAGAUUGAAGCACAGAAAUGCAGAUAUAACUCAGACUGUGUUACUUUCUGUGGCGGAAGUACCAACGAUGCUGUGUGUGAUGUCCCAUCAGGAGCCUGUCAUUGUCACUCUCACGGUGAAAUCAGCUGUUCCAACCACAGUACAUGCCGACGUGAGUGCGGAAACCCCAGGGCCUGCUGCAACAACGACCACCAUUGCCAUUGCCACGAGGCAUGCGAUUACAGGCCUUUAUAAGUUGUCUAAAGGACUCUAGUGAUGGAGUGAAAACAAUGUCACUGAUUCAACUGUCAUAACAUGUCUAAAUAGAGUUCAUCCUGUGAUAUUUGUUAUGUACACAUUAAUAAAAAAAUUAAUGAAUAUUUGUUAUAAUGACAAAAGA
Molecule: long non-coding RNA, 541 nt
Organism: Biomphalaria glabrata
Lineage: Eukaryota; Metazoa; Mollusca; Gastropoda; Planorbidae
Exons: 3
Source: RefSeq, a predicted model, not a curated record